Molecule: ribosomal RNA, 525 nt
Filed under: uncultured bacterium
Lineage: Bacteria
Description: bacterial SSU rRNA
Rfam family: Bacterial small subunit ribosomal RNA
Source: RNAcentral
AGUGGGGAAUCUUGCACAAUGGGCGAAAGCCUGAUGCAGCCAUGCCGCGUGAGUGAGGAAGGCCCUAGGGUUGUAAAACUCUUUCAGUGGGGAAGAUAAUGACGGUACCCACAGAAGAAGCUCCGGCUAACUCCGUGCCAGCAGCCGCGGUAAUACGGAGGGAGCUAGCGUUGUUCGGAAUUACUGGGCGUAAAGCGCACGUAGGCGGACUGAUCAGUUGGGGGUGAAAGCCCAGGGCUCAACCCUGGAACUGCCUUCAAUACUGUCAGUCUUGAGUCCGAGAGAGGUGAGUGGAAUUUCCAGUGUAGAGGUGAAAUUCGUAGAUAUUGGAAAGAACACCAGUGGCGAAGGCGGCUCACUGGCUCGGUACGGACGCUGAGGUGCGGAAGUGUGGGGAGCAAACAGGAUUAGAUACCCUGGUAGUCCACACCGUAAACGAUGGAUGCUAGUUGUCGGGCAGCAUACUGUUCGGUGACGCAGCUAACGCAUUAAGCAUCCCGCCUGGGGAGUACGGUCGCAAGAUUA